GACGAACGCUGGCGGCGUGCUUAACACAUGCAAGUCGAGCGGUAAGGCCCUUUCGGGGGUACACGAGCGGCGAACGGGUGAGUAACACGUGGGUGACCUGCCCUCAGCUCUGGGAUAAGCCUGGGAAACCGGGUCUAAUACUGGAUAUGACUCCAUGACGCAUGUUGUGGGGUGGAAAGCCUUGUGCGGCUGAGGAUGGGCCCGCGGCCUAUCAGCUUGUUGGUGGGGUGANGGUCUACCAAGGCGACGACGGGUAGCCGGCCUGAGAGGGCGACCGGCCACACUGGGACUGAGACACGGCCCAGACUCCUACGGGAGGCAGCAGUGGGGAAUCUUGCGCAAUGGGCGAAAGCCUGACGCAGCGACGCCGCGUGAGGGAUGACGGCCU
RNAcentral lists this ribosomal RNA (388 nucleotides) under uncultured bacterium. Its description in RNAcentral is "bacterial SSU rRNA". It matches the Rfam family "Bacterial small subunit ribosomal RNA", at positions 28 to 417 of the family's 1533-position model. The record is from RNAcentral.